This 408-nucleotide unclassified non-coding RNA is filed under the name Hevea brasiliensis (rubber tree). Lineage: Eukaryota; Viridiplantae; Streptophyta; Magnoliopsida; Malpighiales; Euphorbiaceae. The record is from RNAcentral.
GCCCCUUGAUCUACCACUCUCUCUAUCAUAAAUCACCUUAGCUUCCACAACUUUCCCUUGCUCACUGAACAAGGUCUCAAGUGCCAAGUUAUCAACACCCCAAGAAAGAUUACCAACAUACAACCGGUUGGCAGAAUCGAAAGUAUCACCACCUCGGGGACUUCUAUUGGAAGAAGCUUCCCUCUGGGGAGGAGGUCCAGAAUUCACUCUCAAUGGCCUACCCUCGAGUUCAUAGCCAUUGAACUGCUGAGCCGCUGCUUCAACUUCCUCAGUAGUUGACAUGGUCACAAAACCAAAUCCUCUGCUUCUCCCAGUUACUUUGUCAUAUAUUACCUCAACCAUCUCAACAUUUCCAGCACUUUCAAACAAGCCAGCAAGCUGGGCACUGUCAACGCUAAAGGGAAGAUU